CACGUGGGAACGUGCCUUUAGGUUCGGAAUAGCUCCUGGAAACGGGUGGUAAUGCCGAAUGUGCCCUUCGGGGGAAAGAUUUAUCGCCUUUAGAGCGGCCCGCGUCUGAUUAGCUAGUUGGUGAGGUAAUGGCUCACCAAGGCGACGAUCAGUAGCUGGUCUGAGAGGAUGAUCAGCCACAUUGGGACUGAGACACGGCCCAAACUCCUACGGGAGGCAGCAGUGGGGAAUCUUGCGCAAUGGGCGAAAGCCUGACGCAGCCAUGCCGCGUGAAUGAUGAAGGUCUUAGGAUUGUAAAAUUCUUUCACCGGGGACGAUAAUGACGGUACCCGGAGAAGAAGCCCCGGCUAACUUCGUGCCAGCAGCCGCGGUAAUACGAAGGGGGCUAGCGUUGCUCGGAAUUACUGGGCGUAAAGGGCGCGUAGGCGGAUCGUUAAGUCAGAGGUGAAAUCCCAGGGCUCAACCCUGGAACUGCCUUUGAUACUGGCGAUCUUGAGUGUGAGAGAGGUAUGUGGAACUCCGAGUGUAGAGGUGAAAUUCGUAGAUAUUCGGAAGAACACCAGUGGCGAAGGCGACAUACUGGCUCAUUACUGACGCUGAGGCGCGAAAGCGUGGGGAGCAAACAGGAUUAGAUACCCUGGUAGUCCACGCCGUAAACGAUGAUUGCUAGUUGUCGGGCUGCAUGCAGUUCGGUGACGCAGCUAACGCAUUAAGGCAAUCCGCCUGGG
This 728-nucleotide ribosomal RNA is filed under the name Brevundimonas faecalis. RNAcentral describes it as "bacterial SSU rRNA". It matches the Rfam family "Bacterial small subunit ribosomal RNA", at positions 114 to 877 of the family's 1533-position model. The record is from RNAcentral. Lineage: Bacteria; Pseudomonadati; Pseudomonadota; Alphaproteobacteria; Caulobacterales; Caulobacteraceae.